This 73-nucleotide transfer RNA is filed under the name Ovis aries (sheep). It matches the Rfam family "tRNA". From Rfam's summary of the family: Transfer RNA (tRNA) molecules are approximately 80 nucleotides in length. Their secondary structure includes four short double-helical elements and three loops (D, anti-codon, and T loops). The record is from Rfam by way of RNAcentral. Lineage: Eukaryota; Metazoa; Chordata; Mammalia; Artiodactyla; Bovidae.
UCCUUGGCAGGCAAGUGGUGAAGACUCUAUGCUUUUAAUGUAGGGAGUUCAGGUUCUAAUCCUGGUUGGGGAG